RNAcentral lists this ribosomal RNA (465 nucleotides) under Ralstonia pickettii. RNAcentral describes it as "bacterial SSU rRNA". It matches the Rfam family "Bacterial small subunit ribosomal RNA", at positions 33 to 487 of the family's 1533-position model. The record is from RNAcentral. Lineage: Bacteria; Pseudomonadati; Pseudomonadota; Betaproteobacteria; Burkholderiales; Burkholderiaceae.
ACGCUGGCGGCAUGCCUUACACAUGCAAGUCGAACGGCAGCAUGAUCUAGCUUGCUAGAUUGAUGGCGAGUGGCGAACGGGUGAGUAAUACAUCGGAACGUGCCCUGUAGUGGGGGAUAACUAGUCGAAAGAUUAGCUAAUACCGCAUACGACCUGAGGGUGAAAGUGGGGGACCGCAAGGCCUCAUGCUAUAGGAGCGGCCGAUGUCUGAUUAGCUAGUUGGUGGGGUAAAGGCCCACCAAGGCGACGAUCAGUAGCUGGUCUGAGAGGACGAUCAGCCACACUGGGACUGAGACACGGCCCAGACUCCUACGGGAGGCAGCAGUGGGGAAUUUUGGACAAUGGGCGAAAGCCUGAUCCAGCAAUGCCGCGUGUGUGAAGAAGGCCUUCGGGUUGUAAAGCACUUUUGUCCGGAAAGAAAUGGCUCUGGUUAAUACCUGGGGUCGAUGACGGUACCGGAAGAAU